Molecule: ribosomal RNA, 214 nt
Filed under: uncultured bacterium
Lineage: Bacteria
Description: partial 16S ribosomal RNA
Rfam family: Bacterial small subunit ribosomal RNA
Source: RNAcentral
CAGUUCAGAUUGCAGGCUGCAACUCGCCUGCAUGAAGUCGGAAUUGCUAGUAAUCGCGGAUCAGCAUGCCGCGGUGAAUACGUUCCCGGGCCUUGUACACACCGCCCGUCACACCAUGAGAGUUGGCAAUACCCAACGUACGUGAUCUAACCCGCAAGGGAGGAAGCGUCCUAAGGUAGGGUCAGCGAUUGGGGUGAAGUCGUAACAAGGUAUC